This 525-nucleotide ribosomal RNA is filed under the name Triticum aestivum (bread wheat). RNAcentral describes it as "partial small subunit ribosomal RNA". Lineage: Eukaryota; Viridiplantae; Streptophyta; Magnoliopsida; Poales; Poaceae. The record is from RNAcentral.
CUUCCGGCCACUCUUGGGCUUGAUAAAAGUGACAGCUUCCAGUAUCUCAUUGACCGGUUAGUUUUGAGAUUAAGUGGUUGGAAGGAAAAGUGCCUAUCUUCGGGAGGGAAAGAGAUUCUCAUUAAGUCAGUAGCACAAGCAAUACCAAUAUACGCGAUGUCUGUCUUUAAAAUUCCUAAAAAAAUUUGCAAAGGAAUCAUGGAUGCGAUAUCUCGUUUUUGGUGGGGUGAUGAUGCAACUCACAAGAAGAUGCACUGGUUCGCAUGGUGGAAGAUGUGCAUUCCUAAAAAGCAAGGAGGGAUGGGGUUCAGAGAUAUUCACUGCUUUAAUUUGGCAUUGUUGGCUAAACAGGCUUGGAGACUAAUUGAUAAUCCUGAAUCUCGAUGUGCGAUGAUUCUAAAGGCGAAAUACUUUGCUGAUGUAGAUCUUAUGGAUGCUACCCUAAAGAAAAAAGCUUCGUAUACAUGGCAAAGCAUUAUGGCUGGAUUGGAGGCCCUAAAAGUUGGGCACAUAUGGAGAGUGGGU